This 424-nucleotide ribosomal RNA is filed under the name uncultured bacterium. RNAcentral describes it as "bacterial SSU rRNA". It matches the Rfam family "Bacterial small subunit ribosomal RNA", at positions 355 to 776 of the family's 1533-position model. The record is from RNAcentral.
UGAGGAAUAUUGGUCAAUGGGCGCAAGCCUGAACCAGCCAUCCCGCGUGCAGGAAGACGGCGCUAUGCGUUGUAAACUGCUUUUCCAGGGGGAGAAUUUUCCGGUCGUGACCGGGAUUGACGGUACCCUGGGAAUAAGCAUCGGCUAACUCCGUGCCAGCAGCCGCGGUAAUACGGAGGAUGCGAGCGUUAUCCGGAUCUAUUGGGUUUAAAGGGUGCGUAGGCGGAUCAAUAAGUCAGUGGUGAAAACCUGCAGCUUAACUGUAGAUGUGCCGUUGAUACUGUUGGUCUUGAGUAUGGUCAAGGUAGGCGGAAUGUGUAAUGUAGCGGUGAAAUGCUUAGAUAUUACACAGAACACCGAUUGCGAAGGCAGCUUGCUGGGCCAUUACUGACGCUGAUGCACGAAAGCGUGGGGAUCGAACAGG